Molecule: ribosomal RNA, 329 nt
Filed under: uncultured eukaryote
Lineage: Eukaryota
Description: partial 18S ribosomal RNA
Rfam family: Eukaryotic small subunit ribosomal RNA
Source: RNAcentral
CCCUUAGAUGUUCUGGGCCGCACGCGCGCUACACUGAUGCAUUCACCGAGUCUAAAACCUGCUCUGAUAGGGGUGGGUAAUCUUUUGAAUGUGCAUCGUGAUUGGGAUAGAUGAUUGCAAUUUUUCAUCUUCAACGAGGAAUGCCUAGUAAACGCAAGUCAUCAGCUUGCAUUGAUUACGUCCCUGCCCUUUGUACACACCGCCCGUCGCUCCUACCGAUUGAAUGAUCCGAUGAAUAUCAUGGAUUGAGGAUGCAAGUAGGUUAGCCUAUCUUCAUCUUCGAGAAGUGAAGUAAAUCUUAUCAUUUAGAGGAAGGAGAAGUCGUAACA